AGUGAACGCUGGCGGCGUGCUUAACACAUGCAAGUCGAACGAGAACGGAUUAUAGCUUGCUAUAAUUGUCAGCUAAGUGGCGCACGGGUGAGUAAUGUAUAGGUAAUAUGCCUCUUACUAAGGGAUAACAAAUGGAAACGUUUGCUAAUACCUUAUACUCCUUAUUAACAUAAGUUAAUAAGGGAAAGAUUUAUUGGUAAGAGAUUAGCCUGUAUUGUAUCAGUUAGUUGGUGGGGUAAUGGCUUCCAAGACUAUGACACAUAACUGGUUUGAGAGGAUGAUCAGUCACACUGGAACUGAGACACGGUCCAGACUCCUACGGGAGGCGGCAGUGGGGAAUAUUGCACAAUGGACGAAAGUCUGAUGCAGCAACGCCGCGUGGAGGAUGACACAUUUCGGUGCGUAAACUCCUUUUAUAUGAGAAGAUAAUGACGGUAUUAUAUGAAUAAGCACCGGCUAACUCCGUGCCAGCCGCCGCCGUAA
RNAcentral lists this ribosomal RNA (483 nucleotides) under uncultured bacterium. RNAcentral describes it as "partial 16S ribosomal RNA". It matches the Rfam family "Bacterial small subunit ribosomal RNA", at positions 29 to 523 of the family's 1533-position model. The record is from RNAcentral.